CCUGUUUAUCUUAGUGGCGGACGGGUGAGUAACGCGUGGGUAACCUGCCCUGUACAGGGGGAUAACACUUAGAAAUAGGUGCUAAAACCGCAUAAGCGCACAGUACCGCAUGGUACAGUGUGAAAAACUCCGGUGGUACAGGAUGGACCCGCGUCUGAUUAGCUGGUUGGAGGGGUAACGGCCCACCAAGGCGACGAUCAGUAGCCGGCCUGAGAGGGUGAACGGCCACAUUGGGACUGAGACACGGCCCAAACUCCUACGGAAGGCAGCAG
This 272-nucleotide ribosomal RNA is filed under the name uncultured bacterium. RNAcentral's name for it is "partial 16S ribosomal RNA". It matches the Rfam family "Bacterial small subunit ribosomal RNA", at positions 82 to 354 of the family's 1533-position model. The record is from RNAcentral.